Molecule: ribosomal RNA, 1413 nt
Filed under: uncultured Bacteroidota bacterium
Lineage: Bacteria; Pseudomonadati; Bacteroidota
Description: bacterial SSU rRNA
Rfam family: Bacterial small subunit ribosomal RNA
Source: RNAcentral
CGGCUACACAUGCAAGUCGAGGGGCAGCGAGGGUAGCAAUACCUGUCGGCGACCGGCGCACGGGUGCGUAACACGUAUACAAUCUGCCUGCUACUAAGGGAUAGCCCUCUGAAAGGAGGAUUAAUACCUUAUAAUACAGGGCUGCGGCAUCGCAAUAUUUGUUAAAGAUUAAUUGGUAGCAGAUGAGUAUGCGCAACAUUAGGUAGUUGGUGAGGUAAAGGCUCACCAAGCCGACGAUGUUUAGGGGUUCUGAGAGGAAGGUCCCCCACACUGGAACUGAGACACGGUCCAGACUCCUACGGGAGGCAGCAGUGAGGAAUAUUGGUCAAUGGGCGAGAGCCUGAACCAGCCAAGUCGCGUGAAGGAAGACGGUAUUAUGUAUUGUAAACUUCUUUUGUAGAGGAAUAAAGAGCGUCACGUGUGAUGUAUUGUAUGUACUUUACGAAUAAGCAUCGGCUAACUCCGUGCCAGCAGCCGCGGUAAUACGGAGGAUGCAAGCGUUAUCCGGAUUUAUUGGGUUUAAAGGGUGCGCAGGCGGGUUGUUAAGUCAGUGGUGAAAGUUUGCCGCUUAACGGUAAAAUUGCCAUUGAAACUGAUGAUCUUGAGUGCAAAUGAGGUAUGCGGAAUGUGCAGUGUAGCGGUGAAAUGCUUAGAUAUUGCACAGAACACCGAUUGCGAAGGCAGCAUACUGGGAUGCAACUGACGCUGAGGCACGAAAGUGUGGGUAUCAAACAGGAUUAGAUACCCUGGUAGUCCACACAGUAAACGAUGAUUACUGACUGUUUGCGAUAUAAUGUAAGCGGUUAAGCGAAAGCGUUAAGUAAUCCACCUGGGGAGUACGUCGGCAACGAUGAAACUCAAAGGAAUUGACGGGGGCCCGCACAAGCGGAGGAACAUGUGGUUUAAUUCGAUGAUACGCGAGGAACCUUACCCGGGCUUGAAAUGGAGUGGAAUAAUUUGGAAACAGAUUAGUCAGCAAUGACCACUUUGUAGGUGCUGCAUGGUUGUCGUCAGCUCGUGCCGUGAGGUGUCGACUUAAGUGUCAUAACGAGCGCAACCCUUACCGAUAGUUACCAUCAGAUAAUGCUGGGGACUCUAUUGGGACUGCCACCGUAAGGUGUGAGGAAGGAGAGGAUGACGUCAAAUCAGCACGGCCCUUAUGUCCGGGGCGACACACGUGUUACAAUGGGAGAAACAAAGGGUCGCUACCUGGCAACAGGAUGCUAAUCUCGAAAAUCUCUCUCAGUUCGGAUUGGAGUCUGCAACUCGACUCCAUGAAGCUGGAUUCGCUAGUAAUCGCACAUCAGCCAUGGUGCGGUGAAUACGUUCCCGGGCCUUGUACACACCGCCCGUCAAGCCAUGGAAGCUGGAAGUACCUGAAGUAUGUAACUGAAAAGAGCGUCCUAAGUAACU